UACGUAGGGGGCUAGCGUUGUCCGGAAUCAUUGGGCGUAAAGCGCGCGUAGGCGGCUUUGUAAGUUAGAGGUGAAAGCCCGGGGCUCAACCCCGGAACUGCCUUUAAAACUGCAUCGCUUGAAUCCAGGAGAGGUGAGUGGAACUGCGAGUGUAGAGGUGAAAUUCGUAGAUAUUCGCAAGAACACCAGUGGCGAAGGCGGCUCACUGGCCCGGUACUGACGCUGAGGUGCGAAAGCGUGGGGAGCAAACAGG
This 253-nucleotide ribosomal RNA is filed under the name uncultured bacterium. RNAcentral's name for it is "partial 16S ribosomal RNA". It matches the Rfam family "Bacterial small subunit ribosomal RNA", at positions 524 to 776 of the family's 1533-position model. The record is from RNAcentral.